RNAcentral lists this non-coding RNA (286 nucleotides) under Garciella nitratireducens. Its description in RNAcentral is "T-box sequence". It matches the Rfam family "T-box leader". From Rfam's summary of the family: Uncharged tRNA acts as the effector for transcription antitermination of genes in the T-box leader family. T-boxes are found upstream of many aminoacyl-tRNA synthetase genes and some amino acid biosynthetic genes usually in Gram-positive bacteria. The anticodon of a specific tRNA base pairs to a specifier sequence within the T-box motif, and the NCCA acceptor tail of the tRNA base pairs to a conserved bulge in the T-box antiterminator hairpin. The record is from RNAcentral. Lineage: Bacteria; Bacillati; Bacillota; Clostridia; Eubacteriales; Eubacteriaceae.
UAAAAAGUUAUGAAGGAGAGAAAAAUACCAAUCUUUUAACCACAGAGAGCUGGCAUAAGCUGAAAGUCAGUGUUAAAAGGGUAUAGAAUAAUCGCUCUUGAACUGCCAUAUCGAAAGGGAGCACUUAGUAGAGUUGGCCGGUAUUUACAUCUAUAUUAUUUAUAGAUUUGCCACCGUUAUAUGGCUAGGGUUAAAGAAAAAUUUUCUUAGACCUGAAAAAGACCAUUCAUGUAAAUGAAUUGUGAACUAGGGUGGUACCGCGGGAUAAAAGUCUCUCGUCCCUAGA